This is a non-coding RNA of Phalacrocorax carbo (great cormorant), 7604 nucleotides long. The record is from RefSeq and is a predicted model, not a curated record. NCBI's taxonomy places the organism in Eukaryota, Metazoa, Chordata, Aves, Suliformes, Phalacrocoracidae.
GAGCAGGAGGAGCUGGACGAGGAGCUGGACGAGGAGGAGGAGGAGGCGGACGAGUCGGAGGGCAGCCCCGGCAGAUAACACAAGUCUGCUGGAACGGGCAGUUUCUGCACAGUUGAAUGAGCGCUUUGUCUGGGAACAAUAUGGAUGCAGAUUUUUAUUCUUCUAAUGGAAGAAAGUUACUUCAGCCCAACUCCUCCUGUGCUGCCAGCACCACUUUCACACAGCCCAAAGGAAGCAACACCUAUCCCCGCUCUCUGUUUACAUAACUGACACAUCCAAAGCAGAAUGUCUGCAGCAAGAUGUCCCAUACCAGGCACAGAGCUAGCAAGAGACAGAAAAACAGGAUAUAAAAGCAGCUGCUUGACUUAAGUAUUAUCAUGGAGGUGAACCCUGAAGACAACUUUGCAACAAUUCACCAGGAGUUUUUACUCAGACAUGGCAACCAAAGAAAAAGCAGUUGGAAUUUUGUCAGUCAAGACAUUUUGGAGAUACCCAUGGGGAAAUCAUCAGGAAGCAAACAUGGAAAAGCUAGCAAUAGAAGUGCUGCUUAAAAUACAGACCUUAAAAUUCAUAUAUGAUUCAUAUCAGAUGCUUAAAAUUCAUAUACCUCUCCCAAACUUGGACUUGCCUUCCUUGAAGAUGUACCAUAUUUAAAUUAUAUUUUAAGAAUCAAGGAAAUAUGUGAAAAACAAGCUCACCAUGACAGAAAAGGUGCAACCUUAACUGUGAAGCAGCUACAAGAGUUCCAGUUGCCAACUAUGCCACAGCAUUUCUCCAAACCUUUUUUAAAUGGCACAAAUAGUAGAAAACACUACAGAUUUUAUUAAAAAGUAACAAAUAUUGUACAUAUGCCUGCUUUAUCUACAAAAUGUUUACAAUCAGAGGCAAAGGAAGAGUGAAGGCUAAACAUUCAUAAAUGGUACAGCUAAUGGAAACCUGAGCUAUUAAUUUUCAGUGCUAUACGGAUGGUAAGAGUCACGGGCACAAAUGGAUUUCCAAAAAACCACCGUAAAAGACAUUUAGUUUUCUGUCUCUGAGCUUAAUAAACACAUGGAAAUACUUUCCAUGCAUGUUAGUUAAGGUGGUCAUAAUAUGCAUGAAUACUAAAAGGUGGCCCAGGGAUGGGAGAGGAACCAAGGAUGAACCGUCUGAUGGUGUUCAUUAUAUAAGGUAUCACUACCAUCUCAGAAUAAAGGAUUUAAAAACCCUCUAAAGAUAUAGAGCAUUUUCCAAAAACACCUUCUGAACAUCAGCAUCUUGUUUUGAGAUUAUUCCAACAGCAGUAGCUUCUAUCAUCCACUCACUUCUGGGGAGAAGGGCAACUGCACAGUGCAGUAUAUAAAAAUACACGACCUCUUUGUUGUUAUAUGCUGCCAGAUAAUUACCAGAACUGCACAGCAGGCUUAAUGGUAGAAUUAUUUGGUUGUGUUUAAGUAUUGUGGGUUUUAACAUUGGCAGAAAUGCUCAAAGCCUCCAAUCAGCACAACUUUAAGUCAUAAGCAGUAAUUGUAAAUUAACAUUCUGAAUGUUAUUUGGUGACCCCAUAAAUUCCUCAGCACUGUAAUACUUUCUUCAGUGCACUGAGCCUUGACCUAAUGACUACCCUCUAGUGAGCCAAGAGCGGAGUUUAUGUUUGUAGGCACUGAACUUUAAGGAGUCUUUGAACAAAAGCCGUAAGGCAGAUACGUAAUACAUCUGACAAUCCACUGGGGAACUCAACAAAAACAUUAAUACUUUAGCCAGCCAUGCAGCUUUAGGCUUCAGAAAAUAAAAGAAAAUGCCCUAAUUAUUAAACCAUCCAUUCUCUCCAACAAUUUUAUAUCACAGACUGAAUAAACAUUUUGGCUAGUUCAGUAAUGACAUAUAUACAUGUGUAUAUAUGUAUCUAGGAAAGGAAGAGUUAAUGGACAUAGCAGAUGAUGGAGAGUUUUACCAGCCUUCCUAGAAUACGACGGCUGGUAGGCCCUUGACAGCAGCAGCUGCAGGCUCGCUCACAGCCUGCUCCCAGCUCAGCUGUCAUAUUACAUAUUGGGACACAAGGAACCUCUCUUAGCCUAGCAGCUGUCUCCCUUAAUGGAUUGCCCAGUUCACUGCUUCCAGACAUCAUCAAUUUCUCCCUGCUCAAAUCCUCUUUGCACACUUUCGUGCGGCUUCUAGUUCAAGCCUGCCCUGGGGACAGAGGAAUGGUCAAAUUCCAGACUACCUUUGCACAGGCAAGAAACAGCAUCGUUUUGUUCUCACAUUCAGGCUGGAAACCAGAUAAUCCUAUAAGUGAGCUGCACCAGUCACAGUGUGAAGCAUUCAGAGAAAGCAGUUAUAAUUUCACAACUAACUUCAAAAUAAAUAUGGUAAAUGUGCCUAAGUCAAAGGCUCCUCUUUGAAGGAUACUGCAGAUAGCCAUCUUCCUAAACAGAUUUUUACUUCCUUUAGUGGAAGCAAAAUACCUCGGAUAAGUAGCGAGAUGUGUCUCUUAGUGAACUCGUAUUCAAAAGUGAGGCUCUUAUCUUUGCAAUCUUCUCACUGCGAUAGGAGUGGGGUAAGCAAAGCCAAGGUUAGAUACUGUUCAGCUAACAAUAGAAGCAUGUGGUGCCUUUCAGAGCAUGAAUGCCAGUUUUUUACUGCAGGUGCUCUUGUGGUGUGGCCACAGGAGGAAAGCGAUAACUGACAUCCUUUUCCAUUCAAUUUACAGUCAAAAGAGUGUUUGUAAUUUAGUAGUUGACUGGCUGAAGCUCAGCCCAUAUGGUAGCUGUUGUUCAGCAAAGGGAUAAAAAAACAAAAGUACAGUACUUAAACCGGAAAGAACAGGCAGUCUGUGCAUCAGCUCAAAGCUUCAAGGGGGUUCUGGCCCACUUUCAUUCAUAUUUAAAUGUACACAUUCACACUGGGGAUAGGGACACCAAGCCAUAUUUCCUAAUAUUGCAAAUUACUGCCUUACUUUGUCUUGAGCGUUACAUACAAAAAGGAAAAAAAAGUGAAUGCAGAUUUGCAUCAGUGUCCCAUGAGGAAUGCUGAAGGUUAGAAGCAAAACCAGCUGGAAAAUACAUAAAGAGCACAACACAGACUACAGUCUGUUUCUUUUUUGAGAAUAUUUCCCUCCCAUUUGCCUUCUGAUCAGCAGCUCUAAAAGACCCAGAAAUCGCUGUCUACAGCACGUAAUUCCGUACAGAAAGAAAACAAACACAAACUGCACAGAUCUUUUUGAAUACCUCUAUGAGGUGAAAUGUAAUUCUGAAUAGAAAAGUCUGGAUUUAUGAGGGGAAAAAUCACCGUUUUUUCUUUUCAGCCUUUUCAGGAAAGGAUAGACCGUUAUCAAUGUUUCCUUAAGUGGAGUUUAAAAUGGCAAAUACCUCCCAUGGACUCUUAUGGAAAAAACAAUAUUUUGAACAAGAAACUGAAGGAAUGACAGUCAAACAAAAAGGGUAGAAUAAUGAUUUCAGGUUAGUUUGGGGGGAAGUACAACAAAAUAAAUGCAUGCUCAAUACAGUGCGGACCAACUGCUUGCAAAGAACAUGCAAUCUCGCUGGUCUUUUGACUUCUAUUCUACAGCUACGGCGCUUCCCAAGAAAACAAGGAAUAAAGGAAAAUGGGCAAAGAGAAAAAACAGUGAUCUAGAAGGAGGGAAAGGAAAAGGGGACAAAGCUGAUCUUUUUAACACUUGGAUUUCACUACUGUCCAGUCAAGUUUUUUAAACCAUUUAUGGUAUCACUGGGGACCUGGAACUGAAUCAUGACUCAAAGUGGAGAUUUGGUUAUUAAAACUGUGAGUAGCAAUCACAAGUGCAGGGCUUGUGAAAUUAUGCUUUUCCUGUGCAAACAAAUCCCAGAGAUAUGGAAAUUGUAUUUGCACAUCACUGUACACAUAACCAGUUACUGCAAAGCCGCUUCAAUUCUCAUCCAUUUUUCCUUUAAUUUAGGAUAGGACACAGAGCACAUUAAUAAGCCAAAAAGGACAUGUGACAGCCUGAAAUGAAAUAAAAAAUGGUCAAAAAUAAUUUCUGCAGUCUUCCAACUAGUUCCCAAACUGUCCAGUGUGAGCACCUUGCAAUCCUGUCGUCUUAGAAACAGUUUUCUCUUCUCUUCCUCUUGCAUGUGAAAAGCCAUACAAAUGUAACAGGAAACUGUCUGAAUAUGAAGGAGAAAGAGUGAAAGUGACUGUACACAAAUUGCUUUCAGACACACAAGCGAUCUGAAAACACUGGUUUGAUUUGGUUGAUUUUAAUGCCAUUAUGAGAGGCAUUAAUUACAAAUUAAUACCAAUAACACAGAAGACCCAUAUCGCCCAAAAGGUAAAACGCACACAAGCCAACACAGGGAAGGACCAACACAGGGAAGAGGCUUUCUUUGCUUCAACCCAGUAACAGGCUGUGGCAAGAAUACUAAGUUCUUCAGACUCAGAAAAACUGCAGCUCAUCACCCCUUGCAACACCUUGGAGGACAAUGUGAAAGUAUUCACUAGAGAAACCGAUAGGCACCAUUCAGAGGUAUUUUCAAAGAACCAUUUGCAAGAAACUCCACUGAAAAUGUGUUAAAUGAGAAAAUUGUCUCCGUUGGGUCACAUAAAACUGGCCUUUUCUGUAAGGGCUGUUUGUGUAGGUAAACCAUACAUUCUGAUUUUUUGCAAUGUUUCAGAAAUUUAAAAGUUGGUAAUCAUGGAAGAGUUUCUCUUUGCUGUUGUGUUUCAGGCUAAUUAAUAAAGCUAUUUAGAUCACAGAAUUAAAAGAAAACACCGAAGUUACAGCUCAGCUACAUGUGCAUACUAUAUGGGUUGGCACAUAAUGGACAUGUUAGGAACAUUAAAUGGGGCUAUGUGUAUCCCAAUUUACUACUUUUAAAAUAUUGUUUUGAGCAGCUGGAAGUUAGUUGCACAUCUCACAAUAUUAAUAAGCAUGUUGUUAUUCCAUACUGUAUUUCUACAGAUUUUAUUAGCAAGGCCAGGAGUCAACAUUAGUGAUUUAUAGUCCAUAAAAAGUAUGAUGUAAUUGAAAUGUGAAGAAGGUCAGAAUCCCCAAAGACAAAUUACCUUAACAAUAGAGUGAGAUCAUUCCAUAUACUUGUCCGCUCCAAGGGGCAAUAAUCAAACAGACCUACAUGUAAAGUCUAUGCUGAGCAUUAGAUAAAAGCUACAGAGGCAGCACUUUUUCCAAUGUAAUACAGUACAGUGCCGUAGAUUUUGCUCUGAGCUUCACUCAUGAAAAAGCUUACUCUGAAUGUGUCCCAAUCCCAUUUAUUUUUGCCAAAAAUUUACAAAGAAAAUGUUAUAAACAUAUGUAAGCUUGAAUAAGAAGAUCUGGUUCCAUUUCAAAUAGAAGCACCAAUACCUACAUGGAACAAAAUAAUGGGGCUCAUUAAAAAAAGAAGAGUUUGCCUUUGAACCUUCGUGUAAGGUUUAAUAUACAGCUUUUCCCUGCACUAAAAUUCUACAGGCUGGUUAAGAUCCAAAUCUGCAUAAAGAAUAAAAUCUCCUAUUGAUUUUCAUAGGUUGUCAACCAGAAUAGAUAAGUUUAACUUCUUUGAUUUAAAAGAGCUACAACACUAGCUAACUAAUGUUAGCUACCAAGACAACAGAAUUACACAAGUUUACAAAACCUGAGGAAAGAUCCACAUUUUUAUUACUGCUCAAGUAAUUUCUACAGGAUCUUACUGGUUGUAUCUCAGUUACCUCCUGGAACAUUUUCCUAUGGGCAUGGGGGGUGGAGGUUGCUGUGUUGUGGUAAAAAGAAAAACUGUCUCUACAGAACAGGGAGUCGUGCUAAUCAUCUCCAGCAGGAAUGAGCAGCUCAUCAACAAAUUCAAAAAUUAAGACAGUUUUUAAAAACGAUGAAUUAAUUUAUAAUACAAGGUCUCCUCUUACUUAGAAGUGAUAAGUGUUGAACUGUUAGCUUGCCUCUUUCAUCUCAAAGAAAUAUAAGUUGCCAAAGUUCAGUGCUUCUGAAGUGAAAAAGAAGUCCUACAUAGUCCGUUUAAUGAAGAAUUGCAAUUGUGCUCCUGCAUGAGCUAACUAGCUUCCUGGAUGUGGGUGUUUCUAAGAGGAUAUCAAAACACAUUUACAUGAAAACAGAUCAUUGCUUCCACUGAAUGAUUUAAAUGCAUCUUACAGCUGUGGAGAAGGAUUUUCCCAGUAUUCAAAACAUCCUUCUUAAGAAAAGGAAUUAUUAACUUAUUACUUUCUUUUUAUAUACAUCAAUAAAAUUAGACCCACUUCUGAACCCCCAUAUUCUCUUAGCAGCAACUCUCAUCCUCCUUCCAUUUGCCCUGUACCAGAACUCUCACACUUUUGCCUGACAAGCAUUUUGUGGCACAUUCUGAGUCUACACCAAAUGCUCCUCCAGGUGGUAGACAUACUUCGCAGCUAUUCCCACCUGAUGCUAUCACAAUAUCCAGGAACAGGCUACAGAGUUUCUACAAUCAGGUCUUUCCAUUACUAUUUAAUACUGGUGUGCUGGAAGGCCAACCAUCAUGAUGAAAGAGACCCCUCUAAAAAAUACGUUGCCUCUGGGUAUUCUGGGUAUUCCUUCUAGAAGGCUAGGAUAAUUUUGUUGUUGUUGUUUUAAAAGACCAAGUGAACAAAACCAAAGGCUGUUCCUUUAGCAUGAAGUGCUGAGCGAGGAAACGAAGUUCUGGACUUAUUUCAUGAGGUAGUUAAAAGUUUGCUCACUUUGUAGAUCAUCUGUGUGGGUGAAGGUGAAUGAUGCAGCUCUAUCUGUUGAUCUCGGGAAUGUGGUCCAUUAAAGAACCAUCCUGCCCUGAGGGACCAAACAGGGUGUCUUCGUGGAAGGCUGUAUGAAUUAAUGCUGCAUAAAGUGGUGAUGACUUAUGAUUAGACAUUACAAUACAUCCCUGAGCAAUCAGCAUAGAAAAAAACACCCCAGAUUUUGCCACCAAUUCCUCCUCUGUUACACAAGCCACAAAUCAUUCAUUUCACUUCCCACAUGCAUACAUUUAGCUUUUUAAAAAACAUUGUAUAGCAAAUUAUGUAGUGUUCAAAAAGACAUUUGCCAGGGCCAAAGGAAAAGAGAGAACACGUUUUUUGACAACUUGAUGAGUUCCUGGGAUGUUCUGCCCUAGUUCUAUACACCAAGAGAAAAGCAGCAUGCUCUUUGGGAGCGUCAUUAUAAGCCAGCGAUACGUAUCAUCAUCAAGAAGUUUGAUAUAGCAGCAUCAGAAAAGGAAAUAUGGCGUAAUAGGGGAGGCCCCUAUCUUUGCCCUGAAACACUGAAAAUGCAUCUAUGAUUCAAAAGAUUUGUUUAAAUCCACAGAGUAAAAGGGAUGCAAAAUAAACAAACUCUCCUUACUUUGCUAUAAUUCUGAAAAAAAAUUUUUUGAGGAUAACAAAACAAAACCAGCAUAGCUUAAAGUCAUGGAAAAUAUCCUUUGAUUUGGAAAUUAACAAAAGUUGCAGAAUUUCAAUCUCUAAGUAUCAGGAAAUCACUAUUUCUGCAAGCCUCCUCUGUAACAACUCCAUAAACCUUUCCAAAAGAAUAUUUGUUAUAGGCAAAAGGCCUUUGAACCUACCAAAUUCUUAUUUUCUCUUCUCUAAUGUUACCUCUGGUUGCACAACUUUCGAAAGUGAAGUUUGCUCAUUUAUCCAGUAAUCAUCUUUCUCUC